Molecule: transfer RNA, 62 nt
Filed under: Mesaphorura yosii
Lineage: Eukaryota; Metazoa; Arthropoda; Collembola; Poduromorpha; Tullbergiidae
Description: tRNA-Arg
Source: RNAcentral
UUAUAGAAAGCUAAAGCAUUUAAUUUCGACCUAAACCUAUGGUCUCCCGAGACCUCUAUUUA